This is a long non-coding RNA of Perca flavescens (yellow perch), 321 nucleotides long. RefSeq lists it as uncharacterized. Lineage: Eukaryota; Metazoa; Chordata; Actinopteri; Perciformes; Percidae. The record is from RefSeq and is a predicted model, not a curated record. The transcript is spliced from 4 exons.
CUUUUUUACCUGCAUUUUGUAGCCACGUGGCUAGCUAAAACUUUCCCUCGUUUUCUCAACAAAGUCCUCUGAAGAAAGAGGAUUCGGUUCUACAGCAAUGGCUGCAUUUGUUUGCAUCAUUAGGUGAUCGUGCAAAGAGCUGGGAUAACGUGGCUGUGUUAGUUGACGAAACUAUUAAACCACAAGCUCCGUGUAGCCCAUUCCUACAGACCCCAACACGCCAGAACAUUAAACCAAAGGCCACUCUAAUAAGGAAUAAGAACACAGCAAACAGACAAUCAGCCCCUGAACAAAGGAUCCGCAAGGGCGAGGGCUACUCGC